RNAcentral lists this ribosomal RNA (196 nucleotides) under uncultured bacterium. RNAcentral describes it as "partial 16S ribosomal RNA". It matches the Rfam family "Bacterial small subunit ribosomal RNA", at positions 328 to 539 of the family's 1533-position model. The record is from RNAcentral.
ACGCUCGACACCUACGGAGGCAGCAGUGGGGAAUAUUGCACAAUGGGGGAAACCCUGAUGCAGCGACGCCGCGUGAGCGAAGAAGUAUUUCGGUAUGUAAAGCUCUAUCAGCAGGGAAGAAACUGACGGUACCUGACUAAGAAGCACCGGCUAAAUACGUGCCAGCAGCCGCGUAAUCNGNGCGGGCUGGCAAGGC